AAAUGUGUUUGCUUUUGUGCCCUUGUGGGAAAAAGGUGCCUUGGCACCUGCUUUGAGCUGCUUGAUUUCUGUGGCAGUUUCCUUAAGGAUGUAAUGGUUCUGCCUUUGUGGGGAUGGUUGGAGAACUGAAAGCAGCUGUGCUAAACAAGGGAAAGCUGUGAAUAAAUAGCCUGUGCUUAUGAGAAUAUUUCCCCUGCUGCUCCACCCCAUCCUGCUGCACGCUGCAAAGGCACGGCUUGCCAGGGCGAGGCACAGUGGGUGGCUUCAAUAUGCUUGCUCUUUCUCCAAAAAUUAGGCAGCUGUUUCCCCCUGAGUUGCUGUGGGCUCUGGCAAUGGGCCCAGCUGCCAUGGCAAAGGGCAGGCCUGCCCAGGGAGUGCUGCACAUCACUCCGAGUCUGGUCCCAUCUCCAACCCGCUGCUGGACCGUGCUGUGCGGGAGGCAGGAAGCUGGACAGCACUCUUAAAGUGCGUCUGUGCCUGCCUGAAGAUGCUGCUUUAUAUCCUGAGGAACAUGAACUUUUUUCAUACUGAGCUUUUGAAAUAUCUUCUGUCCUGCUCCUUUCUUUUUGUGCACAAAAUUCAGGAAAGCAUCCACUGCUGUGGACUUCAGACCAGAGAUUGUCAGCCUUUGCAGCAUGCCUGCUGGUUUCCCUUGUGUGGCUGUGCCCAGAUGUCUCUGACAGCAGACAGUCCAAGCUUUUAAACCUCUCUGCACCCCCCUGACCCCAUCCAGAGCUGCCUGGGGACCUGUUCUCCCUGUGCAGAUGCAGCUGGAGUGGCGCUGUAGGAGACAGAGCCACUGAACAGUGCCACGUUUGCUGCACGUGCUGCACCUCCUCCCCAGGGCCUGUGGUUCAGCAAAAAGCACUCCACAAAGGAUCAGAAAUGCAGCUGUCAGAAUGUGGUCCCAAGCCUUGCAAGGAAUGACAGCAUGUGUUACCAUGGUGCAAGCCCUGCGGGUUUUAGGGGAUUGGGGAAAUGCCGUUCAGGAACAGUUCCCUUCUGCCCGGAUAUUUGCAGUAAUUCUUCCUCGUGUCUUUCUGCUGGAGGUUGUUGCUGACCUGAGUGUCCCUUUCUUGCUUUUCGGAGUCUCAACAUAAUGGCAGGUAGUUUCUUUAUGCUUUCAUGUAGUAAUGAAGAAGGUAAAAAUAAAAACCAAGCUUCAUUUCAAUGUUCAAUAUCCAAAUUACCAGCAAGAUGAUUCUGAUGCUCAUUUUAGUGCAGAUGCUCUGGCUGCAGUCUUUUUUUGCCAUGACCUGGGAGGACAGCAUGGGAGUUUUGGUUUCUGUACCUACUGACUCUUUUCACCUUGGGCAGUAAUAGAUGUUCCAAGCUCACACUCCCUUUCUGCUUGCAGGAAGUCAUCUUUUAUAUUUUAAUUCUGCUGUGGCAUUUAUCAUUCCAUUCAGGGACACUGGGAUACGCUGUAGCAAUUCACUCCCACCUUGGUGGCAGUCAAUGACAUUAAAAGUUAAAAAAAGAAGCCUGCUUACUUUGUGCCUGCUGUAUAAAGGGAUGAGUAUUGCAGUGCCCAAGGCUGGUGAUGCAGGGGCAGGGAAUCAGGGGAUGCUCUGUGAGAUCUUCCCUCUCUCUGUUGGAACAUCCCCAGUGAAACUCAAGGGUUUAAAAGCUUCACUUCUCCAUGCUGGCACAGAAGCCUGAGAUGAGAGGAGUGAUUGCACCAGCUGGGAGCAGCCACCUGGGGUAGCUUGGAUAGUGCAGAGUCCACGACAUGGUCUCCUUUGGUCCAGUUUGGGGGCACUCUGGCUGCUGUAGGAGCCCUGGCCCCUACACAGGCUGCCUUUCUCUGGAAGGUGCUAUUUCAGCACUCGUUUGGCCACUGCUGUUCUGCUCUGGUUAUUGCCUUUAACUUAAAGAAAGGAAUCUGAGACCAAAACCACUUGUUUGAGGUUGCCCCAGAAGAUGAGCAGCACUUGCUGCAGGCACUGGGCCACCAGCACUAUGGAACACUUGCAUGGCUGGGUGGCUUGCUUAAAAUAUUUGAUGUUCUGAGGAGGAAGCUCCUGUGAGACUCCAGCUUGGACCUGCCUUGCAGUGCAGUGACACAGCCCUUGGAGCAGAGCUAACCUGGCUCUAGCAGACCUGAGUCAUAUUCCAAUUUCCCCUACAGUGGCGUUUUAACGGCUCCUUUCCUAUUUUCUUUUUUUUUUUUUUUCUUAUUUUUUUUUAUUUUGGACUCUGGGAAGGAAAUAAAUUUCUGAGAGGCAACCUUGCAGAAGCCCCUCUUUCUGUGCUGCUGUGGCUGGAUAUCAAGCAUCAUGUAGUAUGAUAAAAGACUGGUUAUGAGAAAGCUGCAGUGUUGUUUAUCUUUCUGCUGUAGAGAGUCACAGGAUUAACUCUGUAAUCUCUCUUACAAGAGCUGUGCGCAUUCAGUGUGAAUCAGGGGAGCUGCAUGAAGUAAAUGCUUUUUUUUGCCCUGAGAUUAGACUGGCUGUUGAUUUGGCCCAUGAAUCCAGGCUAAUGCUGUUGUGCUCUCAGUAGUUCUCAAUGGUUUAAUUUCUCUCUGGAGUGUAGUUUGUAGACAAAAGUGUAAUUUUCUUACUGGACAGCUUUGAAAGCUGAUGAGUAUCUUACCCAUUAGUAUUACAAUGUUCAGUUUUGCUGUUUUUUUUGGUUUUUUUUUUUAAGAAUGAGAACUGAUCUCCAUCAGUGACUAGACAUUUAUUUAUCCUGUGCACAUAAGAGGAAAUCAAACCAUCCAAGGCUUUGCUACACUUGCCAUGCAUCCUGAGGCAUACACUUAGGAACUUUUUUCCCUAUUGCCCUUAUCAAAGGGUAUCAUGCAAGGCAUCAGGCUGCUUGAAGUGUUUAAUGUGAACAAGGAGUUUUCUGGGGGAGUAUGAUAACCAGUGCAGUAAUCUGACAUUUGCAGAUAAUGCCUGAGAACUUGCUCUUUGGCCCUUCCAGGAGGAUGCAGGAGCAUGGGAGGGAUGCCUAGUGUGAAAUCCUGAGCUGCUGUGCCUGCUUUGGGCCAGUCCCUUAAUGAGGCCUGCCCAAGUAGGAUCUUUAUCCAAAUGGGAAAAUUUAGUCCAGAAAAUAGAUUGCAAUGCAUCUGGUCUAUAGAGAGCAGGCAGCCAAUAAUGCAUUUCAGAGGGAGCUCAAAGAAACUUCCAUCAUCAUCAGUCAGGAGGGUUUUGGAAAACCGUCCCGUGGCUGUAGUGGCCAAGUGCCUUGUACACCUUCAGGAUGGUGCUGGACACCUUUGCUUGCUGAAGGAGGGAUGCUCUUCUCUGCCUCUCCUGCAGUUUAGUCUGUGCCCAAACACAGUCCUGCUCUGCACUGCAGCCAGCACAGUGCAAAUGCUCAGUGUAAAUUCCUCUGCUUUUAGUGCUGUGGAAUUGGGUAGGCAAACAGGGAGGAGAGGACGAGCCCAGCCAUGAGGAGCCUGCGCUUAAACUGAAGUGGUACAAAGGGAGAACCACAGGGUUUUCACUUCACGUGCCACAGGCUGCUUGAUUUUGCUGUUAUGUGAGUUAGUGACAAAAUUUGCACCACUUUGAAUAGAGCAGGACAAGGUUACUGUGAGUCUGUGUGUGAUGUCUCAGUUCUCACUUCCUUGGGUAGUGAAAACAAGCCCUGAGCCCUUUGAAACUGAAUGGGGUGCUGAACCUGAAGGCUGAAAUGUGGGGCAGGUGGGAGAGGCUGUAAUUUUUGGGUGUCCUUCACAUGCUGCUCUAAAAAAGCCACACAAACAAACAAACCAACAAAAGCUGUCUACGCACAGAAAGUAGCCCUAUUUCUUCUUUUAAAAAAUGUAUACAGUAGCAAAGUCUUUCAAUUCCAGCUGAGGAGGAAAGUGGCUGCUAAGACUGAUGCUCCUGAAUGUGCACAGGCAGAAGAGCUCCUGGAAUUGGAUGGCAGAAAGCUUGAUGCCAUCAGGUGGACUUGUGCCUGCUGAAGAUUCACCUUUCUAGAAAUGCUUUUCCCCACUGCUCUGCACCCUCUGUCAGGCCAUGUUGAAAACAUCCACGAGAGCAGACAAGCUGUGGUUGUGCAUGCAGAUCCUCCAUGUCAGCACCACAUUUUCAUCAGAAGUGGGAGAUGUGGGAAUGGUGCCACUGCUGAGCCAAAGGGCUGAUGGGCAGAGAGGAAAUGUGCCAGACAAGCAGGAUGAGAGGAAAUUGUUAGACUGGAUAUUAAGAAAUUAUUUUUCAUGGAAAAGGUUGUCAACUACCAGAACAGGAUGCCCAGGGAAGUGGUGGAGUCUGCAUCUCUGGAGGUAUUUAAAAGUGAUGUAGAUGUGGCACUCAGGGACAUGGUUUAGUGGUGGGCUUGGCAGUGCUGGGUUAGUGGUUGGACUCGGUGAUCUUACAGGUCUUUCCCCACCUUAAUGAUUCUGGAAUUCUGUGAUUCUCUGAAAGACCUCCUGUGAGCAGCAGUGUCACCCUGAACCCCAGGCUCCUGUUGGGCAAAGACAAGGCCUUUAAAACCCUUUAAUAAAAUUAUAUUC
Taeniopygia guttata (zebra finch) is the source of this 4471-nucleotide non-coding RNA. The record is from RefSeq and is a predicted model, not a curated record. Lineage: Eukaryota; Metazoa; Chordata; Aves; Passeriformes; Estrildidae.